This 439-nucleotide ribosomal RNA is filed under the name uncultured bacterium. RNAcentral's name for it is "partial 16S ribosomal RNA". It matches the Rfam family "Bacterial small subunit ribosomal RNA", at positions 339 to 795 of the family's 1533-position model. The record is from RNAcentral.
CUACGGGAUGCUGCAGUGGGGGAUAUUGCACAAUGGGCGAAAGCCUGAUGCAGCAACGCCGCGUGAAGGAAGACGGUUUUCGGAUUGUAAACUUCUAUCAGCAGGGAAGAAAAUGACUGUACCUGACUAAGAAGCCCCGGCUAACUACGUGCCAGCAGCCGCGGUAAUACGUAGGGGGCAAGCGUUAUCCGGAAUUACUGGGUGUAAAGGGUACGUAGGCGGCUGAUCAAGUCAGAUGUGAAAGCCCGGAGCUCAACUCCGGGACUGCAUUUGAAACUGGUCGGCUAGAGUGCAGGAGAGGAAAGUGGAAUUCCUAGUGUAGCGGUGAAAUGCGUAGAUAUUAGGAAGAACACCAGUGGCGAAGGCGGCUUUCUGGACUGUAACUGACGCUGAGGUACGAAAGCGUGGGGAGCGAACAGGAUUAGAUACCCUCGUAGUC